CCCAGCCUGUAGCGCUGCUUGGGGUUGUUGUGCCCCAGGUGCAGGACCCGGCACUUGGCCUUGUUGAACCUCAUACAGUUAAAUUUCAAAAUGCAUGUCUUUUAGUGUGUUUGACAUAGCCCAGCUCUGGGAAUUGAGUGAUUAUGUGUAAUGCUCAACUUUUUAAAAUGUUGCUAACACUGAAAGAAAGGAGUGAAACUGUGACAUGGACCUCUCUUAGUGGUUCAGAGUCCCUAGGAGAAUUAAAAGCAAUGACCAUUUCAAAGAAGAAGAUGUACAGAGAGAAAGGAAAGUACGAGUAUUUAUGUUUUAGUCCAUGCGAUUUUCUGGCACCCGAUUCAUGAUGUUUGAACAUUUUGGGUUGGCUAUAUCUAGGACUGUGUACCUCAUCACUGUCUGAAUCCUCCGACUGCACUCCGUGGCCAGUGGCUCUUUCUUACGCGUCUCCACAAACUUCUGGGUGUGUUUCAGCAGUGACUUGCUGGGUGGGAACAGGCCGGUGCAGAGCCAAAGAAGCUGCCAGCCCUUGGUCACACUGUACCUGUGAAUGCAAAGCAAAUGGUUCUGCUGUAGCUGCACGUAAUUCUUCCUUUGACCACACACCAGCUUUAGGGAAGAGAAACACACUCGCAUCAUGGCACACGGUGGCAUUCAGCAGAGAGCUGCAAAUCAACAGAGUCUUCGCAUAGGAGCUGACAGCCCUUUUCUGUGCAACAACCACAGCCCGUAUGUGAAGGCUGCCUUGGGACAAAAAAGGGCUUCAGUAACACCUUUCUGGCCAUAGCGCACAGAGAAUGCUGAUGGGAGCAGCUAAAGGGAGAUGAAUAAUGGUUCCACUCCAUGGCCUAGCAGUGCCAGUCAGUGGUUCUGAGUGCUCUGCAAAGGAGGAUGAACAAGGAGACCCACCUUCUCACAACGGUACUCUCCAAACCGGAUGCCACGAAUGACUUGAUGGUAAAUGAGAUCUGUGCUGAUGGGAUCCUCCUGGGAGUUGUGCCAGGGGGUGAAGAUUUCCUUCCGAAAGUAAAGCCUCCAGGGUGCAUUGCGUUCAUGUGUGCCCUGCUCCUUUGCUAGCUGCUCACACUGAGAGAUGGCAUCUAGGACAUGAUCUCGUCCCCCACCCAGUGACCAGACCUAGAAGAAAGGGACACUGCAUUUACUGGCAUGUCUGCCUUGCAUCUGAGCAAAGGACAACAAGCCCAAACCUCCUUGGUCUCCUGACAGAAAAAACAACAACAACAAAAACCCCUGAAAAGAAGUCCAUUAAACAGAAUUGACCACUGAUGAAAUUCCAAGAAAGCUGAUGGAUUUACACAAGGAAUGAACAUGACCCAUUACCACUCUGCAGCUCCAUACCUCAAAGCCCAGGGGAGCCUGUCCUUCUCGGCCUCCGAUCACAGAAGAUUCCUAGUUUUCCUAUAACAGUUGUGGAAGACCCUUUGCUCACAGCUUGGUAGUGAUGCACAAAUGCUAGCCCUGGACUCCUGACUAGAAGUGUUGGAGCACUUGGGUGCCAGCUUGCUGCAGCCAGGCCUGCCAGAGGUUAGUUGUGUUACUGUUUCACCAGAAAGCAGAAAUGUCACAAGCUCAGCAAGCCCUGAGAUGCCCCAGAGUCCUCCUUGGACCCUGUUGUUUACCUGUCCAUGGCCAGAUGUUCUGGACAGCAGAAAACCACAUUGAGAUAAAGACUGAGGAAGAAAGAACAGGAUCAGAAAACAAUGCCAGGAGAACAGGCAGAUAACAGCUUGAAGACAUGGUGCACGAAGAACUGCUGAAGGUGCUCAUUGGCAAUGUUAAUGCAGAGCUGCUCAAAGCUGUGGAAGGACAAGGUGCAGAAUAGCAGCCAGCAGUUUGCUGAUGUCCCAGUGCUCAGAGUCUGAGAACAUGAGGAUCUUCAUAGCCGAGCGGAUGUGGGCAUACUCCUUUGCAUCAUUCCGGCCAUCACAAGAUGUGCAGUUGCCCUGCAAGACAUCACACUCAACAGGCAAGGAAAAUCUCUUGUCUCUCUUCAUAUCAUAUAAAUAUCAGAUAUAAGGAUGAGGAUUUUUGACACUGUUUCUGCUUAUUCAUUUUCUCCUAAGAUAUACAUACUUAUUAGCUUUCUCCCUGGCAUUCAUCUGAAAUCUAAGUGCCUGUGAAAGCGGGGGAUAUUUCCUACCUGCUUUAAGAUGUCCUUUAUGUUUCUUAAGGCUGACUUGGACAGAAGGCUUUGAACUGCCACAAGCUGCCUCUGUGGUGGACAGGUGGACCUUACAGUAAGUCUCUGAAACUGAGACUCACAGCACUUUUGAUGUUACUGCUUCUGGUACUCUAAGGAAAGGACUGCUGAUACUUGGUAACUAUCCAUCUGCAGCUCCUGUUGAUGGUACUUGUUUGCUGGAAGAAGCAAAUGGCAAAGGGAUAAUGGAGAAGAAAGCAGAGAUUGCUACCGUAGUGAGAUAAGUGUACUCUGAAGCAGUUCCCAGAUUCAGCAUCUUUUUCUGCUCCAGAUUCAUCCCCAUUAGCAUGCAAUAGAAGAUGUGAUAGUUCCUCUCCUCUGGAGCCUAGAAAGAAAGGAAUAGGCCAAUAUAGCCUUGUUAGUACAGGCUUGUAACACAGGAGCAGGCAGAAUGGACAUCUGCAAGUGCCCUCACCUGCCGGCAAACGCGUGACUUUUCCAGAAGAAACUGUUCUAUCUGGGCUCCUUCUAUCACACCACUGUGGUUGAAGUAGAUAUCAAUGUAUUUCCCAAAGCGACUUGAAUUAUCAUUUCGAACUGUCUUGGCAUUUCCAAAAGCUGAUUGGCAAAGGGCAGAGGUAGUAUCUUGAUUACUGCAGUUAAUGAACAUUGUGUCUAUUUUUAAGUCUCUUCUGUUUUUCUGCUGGCAUUUUACAAGUUGUGCACCAAAUGAUAGUGCUGUCAAGUACUAAAGAAUACAUGGACUAAGGCUCCCUGCUGAAAUGACAGGCAGGCAUACUGUGCAUCCAGAUAAUUGGGCCCUAAAAGAUAUAUUCAGGUGAUCCGCAUAUACACUAUAUCUGACCAGCCAAGGGAGCUGAGCACUUCUUAAUUAAGACCUGCAAAAGGACUUUCUGGGAACUCACCCGAUCCCUCUACUGAGAAAGAUGGAUGUCUUAGGGACCUACCCUACAGAUGUAU
Molecule: long non-coding RNA, 3139 nt
Organism: Cygnus olor (mute swan)
Lineage: Eukaryota; Metazoa; Chordata; Aves; Anseriformes; Anatidae
Exons: 8
Source: RefSeq, a predicted model, not a curated record